Non-coding RNA from Hippocampus zosterae (dwarf seahorse), 81 nucleotides. The record is from the annotation of a RefSeq genome assembly. NCBI's taxonomy places the organism in Eukaryota, Metazoa, Chordata, Actinopteri, Syngnathiformes, Syngnathidae.
GUCAGUAUGUCCGAGUGGUUAAGGAGGCAGACUCGAAAUCUGCUGGGUUUACCCGCGCAGGUUCAAAUCCUGCUGCUGACG